CAGAGUCUCAUCAACAACUUGUUCAAAAAAUAUCAGUGCGUGUACCAUUCAAUGCCGUCUACUUUGACUCGGCCGAGUCGCCGUCAAGGCGAGUCAUUCUGGCUUAAAAACUCGGACACAACCGCCCGAGUUAACUCGGCAACAACCCUAGGAAAGACCAGCCGCCCCAGCCGAGUCAGGGCGAUUCGAGCCCAAAAACACCCGCAAGACGACGUAACUGGGUAGUUUUGAGCCCUUAUAACCCUUAAAAGGAAGAUAAAAAAGCUAUGACGAUGAUGAUGGAGGCAUAAACUUACAGGUAACGGACGGGUAGAAUCAUCCGGG
Molecule: unclassified non-coding RNA, 324 nt
Filed under: Hevea brasiliensis (rubber tree)
Lineage: Eukaryota; Viridiplantae; Streptophyta; Magnoliopsida; Malpighiales; Euphorbiaceae
Source: RNAcentral